AAUAUUGGACAAUGGGGGCAACCCUGAUCCAGCCAUGCCGCGUGUGUGAAGAAGGCCUUCGGGUUGUAAAGCACUUUCAGUGGGGAGAAAAGUGAUUCACCUAAUACGUGAGUUAAUUGAUGUUACCCACAGAAGAAGCACCGGCUAACUCCGUGCCAGCAGCCGCGGUAAUACGGAGGGUGCAAGCGUUAAUCGGAAUUACUGGGCGUAAAGCGCACGUAGGCGGUUAGUUAAGCUAGCUGUGAAAUCCCCGGGCUUAACCUGGGAAUUGCAGUUAGAACUGGCUGGCUAGAGUAUGGUAGAGGGGUGUGGAAUUUCAGGUGUAGCGGUGAAAUGCGUAGAUAUCUGAAGGAACACCAGUGGCGAAGGCGACACCCUGGACCAAUACUGACGCUGAGGUGCGAAAGCGUGGGGAGC
RNAcentral lists this ribosomal RNA (417 nucleotides) under uncultured bacterium. Its description in RNAcentral is "bacterial SSU rRNA". It matches the Rfam family "Bacterial small subunit ribosomal RNA", at positions 360 to 769 of the family's 1533-position model. The record is from RNAcentral.